GGGCCAUUGAACUAAGAACAUAGCUCAGUGGUAGAACAUCUGCUUUACAUUCAGAAGAUACCAGAUUCAAUCCCUGAUGUGUCCA
Podarcis lilfordi (Lilford's wall lizard) is the source of this 85-nucleotide non-coding RNA. Lineage: Eukaryota; Metazoa; Chordata; Lepidosauria; Squamata; Lacertidae. The record is from the annotation of a GenBank genome assembly.